UCUAAACCCUCUCAAACAAACUCUCAAAUCCCUCUUACAAAAUAAACUCUCUCAAAAAAGCACAAAAAGAACUCUGCAGCCGCAAAGCAUCCAAGACCAAAAGCUUCUUGCACCUGUAGCCGUCAACAAAAACUCCGUGUCCACUUGCUUGCAUGCACUCAGCCGCAACUCCCAAAAUUUCCGAAGUUGUUCUUUUGCCCAAGCCUUGCACUUUUCUUCUGCAGCCGCCGCCAAAAGAAAAAAACAAACAAAUCAACCUCCAGCACCAAACCCUAGGCAAUGUGUGCGGUGUGCUUUUAUAACCACGAAUGACUUCGGGUGAGCCCCAAUACCCGCAUUCACACUAAUGCCCGCUGGACUCAAGCUUGGGUAUUGGGCCUUCAUGCACGUGGGUGGACCCCACACCACGUUCACAGGACUGACUUCAUUUACAUUCAAUCCAGCGUGAUCGAAAGCGUCGGCGACGGCGUCGACGACCUCAGCGUAGGAGAGGUAGUCAUUCCGAGCUGCCUAGGCGAAUGCGGCGGCUGCAGAAACUGCAACUCAGGCAAAACCAACUUCUGCCUCGACUAUCCGGUCACCUUAGACGGCCUGAUGCCGGACUCGACUUCAAGAAUGUCAGUAAGAGGGGAGAAGCUCUACCAUCUCUUCAGCUGCUCAACCUUCACCGAGUUCGCCGUCGUCGACGUAAAUUACGUCGUCAGGGUCGGCCCGAGGCUCCAGCCUGAGCACGCCAGUUUUCUGUCCUGUGGGUUUACUACAGUUGCAAAUAUCCCAUGAUCCCAUAACCCCAUCAACCUCUACGGCAGGCGUCACCUCAACCAAACAGGGCAACCUCUCGACCACCAGCAGCACCGAUUCCGGACAGUCAACGGACAGCACAGCCACAAGCCCCCAUGGUCAAAUUCUCGAGGCCCCCAUUCCCAAGAUCUUCACCUUCGCUGAGCUAAGAAGCGCAACGAAGAAUUUCAAGCCUGAAGCUGUUCUUGGCGAGGGAGGAUUCGGGAGAGUUUACAAAGGAUGGGUCGACGAAAGGACUCUGAGUCCAACCAAGUGUGGGCAUGGCAUGGUGGUUGCUGAGAAAAAACUCAAGCCUGAGAGUGUUCAGGGGUUCGAGCAGUGGCAGGCGGAGGUGGAUUUUCUGGGGACGGUUUCACACCCGAAUCUGGUGAAGCUCUUGGGUUAUUGUUGCGAGGCAAGAGGGAGCUUAGAGAAUCGUCUCUUUAGAAUUGGCUCCCUUUCCUUAAUACGAGCGCCUGUUGUGAUGCGUGUGCAAAUUUGAAGGGAGCAUUAUAUUCUUAGUUGCUGUGGUUUUUCUCCUCUUAUCCAUGCUGGUUACAUUAAUCGUCGCAAAAGAAGUCCCUCUGCAUGUCUAGUAUCCCUGGCAAAGGUGAAGAAGAGCACAGAGCAGAGUUCCUCGAUAUCUUCAGAAGUAUCAAAAACUUGCCUCCUGGAAUGCCUUCAGUACUUCUCAUCACCGGUCUUACUUGGGUCAGAGAGCGCUCGAUCUCAACCGUCCAAGCGGACAACAUAAUGUAGUACACUGGGCCAAGCCUUAUUUAGUGGGCCGUUGACAGCUCACUCAGAUCGUCGACCCCCUCAGCUCCACGGCCAGUGCAAACCUAUGGCUACUAGUCAAGCGGCUCAAUUGAUUCUCAAAUGUGUGGCCCAAAAUCCCAAAAGCCGGCCAUCGAUGAACGAUGUAGUUGAGAGUCUUGAGAAUAUUGAAGCCACUCAGAAAAUUGUAGCCCGACCCAAUAGAAUGCCAAGCAUUUGGCAACCACCAUGCCAUGCCCACACUUGGUUGGACUCAGAGUCCUUUCAUCGACCCAUCCUUUGUAAACUCUCCCGAAUCCUCCCUCGCCAAGAACAGUUUCAGGCUUGAAAUUCUUCGUUGCGCUUCUUAGCUCAGCGAAGGUGAAGAUCUUGGGAAUGGGGGCCUCGAGAAUUUGACCAUGGGGGCUUGUGGCUGUGCUGUCCGUUGACUGGCCGGAAUCGGUGCUGCUGGUGGUCGAUAGGUUGCCCUGUUUGGUUGAGGUGACGCCUGCCGUAGAGGUUGAUGGAGUUAUGGAUUUCAUGGGAUAUUUACAAUUGUUGCCCAUGAUUCAGAAACUUGACUAAUUUUUUUUUAUUUUGUGUUUCUUCCUCUCUUUGCUCUGUCGUAGAGGUUUGCUCAUGACUUACAAAUAUAAGGAAUGUAAGGAC
Long non-coding RNA from Asparagus officinalis (garden asparagus), 2205 nucleotides. RefSeq lists it as uncharacterized. Lineage: Eukaryota; Viridiplantae; Streptophyta; Magnoliopsida; Asparagales; Asparagaceae. The transcript is spliced from 6 exons. The record is from RefSeq and is a predicted model, not a curated record.